CCACCCUGUACUCCAUUUAGGAAACAACUGUUUAAAAGGAGUUUUUUAAAAUUUGGUCAUUUUAGAGCACUCCUUCACAUCAUGAAAACUGGAUUUUAUGCUUGCACUAAAGUGAAUUCAGUAUUAUGGCUGUUAAGGGAGAAAAUAUUCAAACUUCACAUGUACUCUGAAGACAACCAAUCUUGGCCAAAUCCCGAUUGUAGGGAUGUGGACGCUUAA
This 219-nucleotide long non-coding RNA is filed under the name Coturnix japonica (Japanese quail). RNAcentral's name for it is "lncRNA (ENSCJPG00005000744.1)". The record is from RNAcentral. Lineage: Eukaryota; Metazoa; Chordata; Aves; Galliformes; Phasianidae.